RNAcentral lists this long non-coding RNA (1171 nucleotides) under Equus caballus (horse). RNAcentral's name for it is "lncRNA (ENSECAG00000044004.1)". Lineage: Eukaryota; Metazoa; Chordata; Mammalia; Perissodactyla; Equidae. The record is from RNAcentral.
CGGGGAGGGACUCGCCCCCCGUGCCUGUGUUUACAGACUGCUGGUUUCCCCGGGCUCUGACCUGCCUCGUCCAGAAAGCCCAGCAAGAGCGUUGAACUCCUGCUUUCUGCAGGUUCUGCUGGGAGCGGCUCCUCUGGGGUGUGAAGCGGGCAGAGGAGGAUGAGGAGGGAGCCGUGAGCAGAGCCUAGGAGGAGCCUUCCGGGGGCUUCCAGAAGCUGGGGACGGCUGAGACCUGGGUUUGAGGAAGAGCCAGAAGGUCUGAGUGGCUAGAUACGGGGUGGGGGUGGGGGUGGGGCAAAGGGUGCAGAGCUGGUGGGGAGAUGAAGAGAGGGGGCCAAGGGGAGACCCCGUAGGGCCAGGGGGCCUUGGGGAGCACUGAGCCUUUAUCCCGAGUGACUGGAGGCCAUUAGGGCCACCAGUGGGUCCCCACGGAGAGCCCUCCCCAGGGAGAAACAUGGAAAACAACCACGGCCAACCGAGUGGGUGCAGCCCGCACGCAGGUGCCCCCCCAUAACCGAUGCACUGCGUUGACUCCAGAGGCAGAAACGAAGGAUAAUUACUGACCUACUGAGCUCACCUCGUGACCACCCACCUGCUGUACCAGCUAAGUGACCCGUGACUGGAGCACAGGGCGCAUUCCUGUCAUAUGUGACGUCUGUCCCUUGUUCCAGGAUGGUGCGUGACCGCUCUGUCCACCCUGCAGCUUCGGGGAGCUUCCUUGCGUGGGGUAGGGGGAUGUGUGAGGCGGGGGCGUCCCGAGUGAGCUGACCUCCUGCAGCAGCCGCAGCCCCAGCCCCUGCAGGAGCCGCCCGCCUCCCCCACGCGUCCUCCAUGGAAAACACAACCGAGAAAGGCAUUCGGAUGGCCAGGCCUCCCUCCACCCGGACCAGCUGCCGGGACGAUUUCCAUUAACCAUCACCCUCCAAACUCGCUUAUAAUCACUCUCCGCCCUCCCGGGCGUUGCCAAGGGAGGAGCGUUAAUCUAAUCAGCGAUCGUGUCUGAAGGCUGAUGGCCUGAGAUGGGCCCGGGCCUCUCCCCCCCCCCUCCGGGGCAGGGCGUGCACGUGGAUGGGGGAGAUGAAUGAACACAGAUGCGGCCGCUGUGAGCUACCUUCCCGGCACAGGAUCUGCUCUCUGCUCUCACCAGUGGGGCCCUCGCAGCAUCUCCCGG